UGCCAAGGAUUAGGGUUGACGACUCUGUUU
This 30-nucleotide non-coding RNA is filed under the name Mus musculus (house mouse). The record is from RNAcentral. Lineage: Eukaryota; Metazoa; Chordata; Mammalia; Rodentia; Muridae.